UCUGUCCCAGGUGCAGCCACAGGAGUCCUGGCCAGGACUGGUGAAACCCUCCCAGCAGCUGUUCCUCAGCUGCACUGUUUCUGGUGUCUCCAUCACCAGCACAGGUUACAACUGGAACUGGAUCUGCCCGACCUCAGAGAAUGGACUGCAGUGGAUGGGAUACAGAGAUUAUGAUGAUGGUCCAGAUUAUAGCCUGUCCUUCCUGAGCCAACUCUCCGUCACCAGAGACACAUCGAGGAAUCAGUUCUCUCUGCAGCUGAGCUCCGACAUGGCAGUGUAUUACUGUGCCGGAGCACAGUGAUGGAAGUCAGUGAGCCCACACACAAACCUCCCCUGCAGGGAAGACACUGGGCAGCAGGGGGCACUCAGGACCCACUGAGCACAAACACCCAGCCCUAGACAAGUACAGAUGGAUGGCAGGGAGUAUUUCCUGUUGAAUGAGGGCUUCCUCUCUUACCUCUCAGCAUCCCCUGGGAUAGUUUUUCUUUUCCCCACCACACCAUCCUCUCAAUUUUCUCCUCACUGCAGCUUGAAGGGAGGAACAAAUAUUAAAGUGAUUCUGAAACGUCAUAGUCAUCCUAUAUGACCCAUUGUCCUUCUCGACAAACAGAUAAUCAUGUGUAAGGACGUCUUAACAGUUAUUUCUGUUAAACCAAUGGCUGAGGUCACCAGCAAAAGCACAGCUUAUACACAGGCAUUGGAUGCAACAGCAGUUUACUCACACAGAAGAGACAGAGGCGGCUCAUCUUCAGGAGUGGGCAGCGGUCUCCACAGCCAGAGGUUUCACUGUGCGGCCAGCGCAGGGAUGGAGGUCUGCAAGUAUCCCUUGUUUGUGCUACAGUUGAAGAACAGUGUUCCCUCCUCAACAGCAAAGGUGCAGCUACAAGAGUCAGGCCCUGGACUGGUGAACCCCUCAUGAACCCUGUCACCUGUGCUGUCUCUGGAUUCUCUUUAAACAGCUAUGGUGUGGACUGGAUCUGCCAGGUUCCAGGAAAGAGAUUGGACUGGGUUGGUGUAAUAUGGAGUGGUGGGAGCACAGAGUAUAAUAUAGCUCUCCUAGUCCCAAAUCAGCAUCACCAAGGACACCUCCAAGAGCCAAGUUCCUUUAAAACUGAGCUCCAUGAAUCCUGAGCACACAGCCGUGUAUUACUGUGCUAGAGACAUAGUGAUUGGAAGUCAGUGUGUGCGUAGACACAAACCUUAGUACAUCAGGUCAUGGUUUCAGCAGAUGUGAAAGAGACAAGUCAGUGAUGCUUUCCUCUCAGAAGCUGUGGUGCCCCCACCUUGUCAGCACCUCUCUAGGGACCACAAAGCACAGUCUCUAGUGAAACUUCAUGUAUCUGAACAUGCCUUCUUUUUAUUGGAAUGGGCUUUGUCUGUUUGGCCAUUUAUCCAAAGGCAGACUUCAAAGUUAUAGGUAUCGAUGAAAUCUCAAUUGACAGUUCAGGAUACUAAAUAGUGCUGUUUGUUGUCAAAGUUAGAAAUAUUGGAAGAAAAAAAAAGCCCAAACUCGCUGCCAUCGAGUUGAGGACAAUUUAUAGUGAUUCCCCUGUGGGUCUCUAAGAUUCUAACUGCCUAUGGGAGUAGAAAGGCAUGUCUUUCUUCUUUGGAGUGGGCACUGGCAAACAGAUCUCAGCGCACCGCAUAACCCCUAUGCCACCAAUCUCAUUAUAAAAUUACUAAUGCAGGAAUAAAUUCUCAUGUUAGCUCCAAAUGUUCUCCAUGCCAUCA
Long non-coding RNA from Echinops telfairi (small Madagascar hedgehog), 1731 nucleotides. RefSeq lists it as uncharacterized. Lineage: Eukaryota; Metazoa; Chordata; Mammalia; Afrosoricida; Tenrecidae. The record is from RefSeq and is a predicted model, not a curated record. The transcript has 3 exons.